RNAcentral lists this ribosomal RNA (253 nucleotides) under uncultured bacterium. RNAcentral describes it as "partial 16S ribosomal RNA". It matches the Rfam family "Bacterial small subunit ribosomal RNA", at positions 524 to 776 of the family's 1533-position model. The record is from RNAcentral.
UACGUAGGGUGCGAGCGUUAAUCGGAAUUACUGGGCGUAAAGCGUGCGCAGGCGGCUUCCUAAGUCAGAUGUGAAAUCCCCGGGCUUAACCUGGGAACUGCGUUUGAAACUGGGAGGCUGGAGUGCGGCAGAGGGGGGUGGAAUUCCACGUGUAGCAGUGAAAUGCGUAGAUAUGUGGAGGAACACCGAUGGCGAAGGCAGCCCCCUGGGCCUGCACUGACGCUCAUGCACGAAAGCGUGGGGAGCAAACAGG